RNAcentral lists this transfer RNA (76 nucleotides) under Butyrivibrio sp. ob235. Its description in RNAcentral is "tRNA_Asn_GTT". It matches the Rfam family "tRNA". Rfam says of the family: Transfer RNA (tRNA) molecules are approximately 80 nucleotides in length. Their secondary structure includes four short double-helical elements and three loops (D, anti-codon, and T loops). The record is from RNAcentral. Lineage: Bacteria; Bacillati; Bacillota; Clostridia; Lachnospirales; Lachnospiraceae.
GGACAUAUAGCUCAAUCGGCAGAGCAUCCGGCUGUUAACCGGAGGGUUGUGGGUUCAAGUCCCUCUAUGUCCGCUA